UUAAGUUAUUAAGGGCGCACGGUGGAUGCCUUGGCACUAGAAGCCGAUGAAGGACGUUACUAACGACGAUAUGCUUUGGGGAGCUGUAAGUAAGCUUUGAUCCAGAGAUUUCCGAAUGGGGAAACCCAGCAUGAGUUAUGUCAUGUUAUCGAUAUGUGAAUACAUAGCAUAUCAGAAGGCACACCCGGAGAACUGAAACAUCUUAGUACCCGGAGGAAGAGAAAGAAAAUUCGAUUCCCUUAGUAGCGGCGAGCGAAACGGGAAGAGCCCAAACCAACAAGCUUGCUUGUUGGGGUUGUAGGACACUCUAUACGGAGUUACAAAGGACGACAUUAGACGAAUCAUCUGGAAAGAUGAAUCAAAGAAGGUAAUAAUCCUGUAGUCGAAAAUGUUGUCUCUCUUGAGUGGAUCCUGAGUACGACGGAGCACGUGAAAUUCCGUCGGAAUCUGGGAGGACCAUCUCCUAAGGCUAAAUACUCUCUAGUGACCGAUAGUGAACCAGUACCGUGAGGGAAAGGUGAAAAGCACCCCGGAAGGGGAGUGAAAUAGAACCUGAAACCGUGUGCUUACAAGUAGUCAGAGCCCGUUAAUGGGUGAUGGCGUGCCUUUUGUAGAAUGAACCGGCGAGUUACGAUUUGAUGCAAGGUUAAGCAGUAAAUGUGGAGCCGUAGCGAAAGCGAGUCUGAAUAGGGCGUUUAGUAUUUGGUCGUAGACCCGAAACCAGGUGAUCUACCCUUGGUCAGGUUGAAGUUCAGGUAACACUGAAUGGAGGACCGAACCGACUUACGUUGAAAAGUGAGCGGAUGAACUGAGGGUAGCGGAGAAAUUCCAAUCGAACCUGGAGAUAGCUGGUUCUCUCCGAAAUAGCUUUAGGGCUAGCCUCAAGUGAUGAUUAUUGGAGGUAGAGCACUGUUUGGACGAGGGGCCCCUCUCGGGUUACCGAAUUCAGACAAACUCCGAAUGCCAAUUAAUUUAACUUGGGAGUCAGAACAUGGGUGAUAAGGUCCGUGUUCGAAAGGGAAACAGCCCAGACCACCAGCUAAGGUCCCAAAAUAUAUGUUAAGUGGAAAAGGAUGUGGCGUUGCCCAGACAACUAGGAUGUUGGCUUAGAAGCAGCCAUCAUUUAAAGAGUGCGUAAUAGCUCACUAGUCGAGUGACACUGCGCCGAAAAUGUACCGGGGCUAAACAUAUUACCGAAGCUGUGGAUUGUCCUUUGGACAAUGGUAGGAGAGCGUUCUAAGGGCGUUGAAGCAUGAUCGUAAGGACAUGUGGAGCGCUUAGAAGUGAGAAUGCCGGUGUGAGUAGCGAAAGACGGGUGAGAAUCCCGUCCACCGAUUGACUAAGGUUUCCAGAGGAAGGCUCGUCCGCUCUGGGUUAGUCGGGUCCUAAGCUGAGGCCGACAGGCGUAGGCGAUGGAUAACAGGUUGAUAUUCCUGUACCACCUAUAAUCGUUUUAAUCGAUGGGGGGACGCAGUAGGAUAGGCGAAGCGUGCGAUUGGAUUGCACGUCUAAGCAGUAAGGCUGAGUAUUAGGCAAAUCCGGUACUCGUUAAGGCUGAGCUGUGAUGGGGAGAAGACAUUGUGUCUUCGAGUCGUUGAUUUCACACUGCCGAGAAAAGCCUCUAGAUAGAAAAUAGGUGCCCGUACCGCAAACCGACACAGGUAGUCAAGAUGAGAAUUCUAAGGUGAGCGAGCGAACUCUCGUUAAGGAACUCGGCAAAAUGACCCCGUAACUUCGGGAGAAGGGGUGCUCUUUAGGGUUAACGCCCAGAAGAGCCGCAGUGAAUAGGCCCAAGCGACUGUUUAUCAAAAACACAGGUCUCUGCUAAACCGUAAGGUGAUGUAUAGGGGCUGACGCCUGCCCGGUGCUGGAAGGUUAAGAGGAGUGGUUAGCUUCUGCGAAGCUACGAAUCGAAGCCCCAGUAAACGGCGGCCGUAACUAUAACGGUCCUAAGGUAGCGAAAUUCCUUGUCGGGUAAGUUCCGACCCGCACGAAAGGCGUAACGAUUUGGGCACUGUCUCAACGAGAGACUCGGUGAAAUCAUAGUACCUGUGAAGAUGCAGGUUACCCGCGACAGGACGGAAAGACCCCGUGGAGCUUUACUGUAGCCUGAUAUUGAAAUUCGGCACAGCUUGUACAGGAUAGGUAGGAGCCUUUGAAACGUGAGCGCUAGCUUACGUGGAGGCGCUGGUGGGAUACUACCCUAGCUGUGUUGGCUUUCUAACCCGCACCACUUAUCGUGGUGGGAGACAGUGUCAGGCGGGCAGUUUGACUGGGGCGGUCGCCUCCUAAAAGGUAACGGAGGCGCUCAAAGGUUCCCUCAGAAUGGUUGGAAAUCAUUCAUAGAGUGUAAAGGCAUAAGGGAGCUUGACUGCGAGACCUACAAGUCGAGCAGGGUCGAAAGACGGACUUAGUGAUCCGGUGGUUCCGCAUGGAAGGGCCAUCGCUCAACGGAUAAAAGCUACCCCGGGGAUAACAGGCUUAUCUCCCCCAAGAGUUCACAUCGACGGGGAGGUUUGGCACCUCGAUGUCGGCUCAUCGCAUCCUGGGGCUGUAGUCGGUCCCAAGGGUUGGGCUGUUCGCCCAUUAAAGCGGUACGCGAGCUGGGUUCAGAACGUCGUGAGACAGUUCGGUCCCUAUCCGUCGUGGGCGUAGGAAAUUUGAGAGGUGCUGUCCUUAGUACGAGAGGACCGGGAUGGACAUACCUCUGGUGUACCAGUUGUCGUGCCAACGGCAUAGCUGGGUAGCUAUGUGUGGACGGGAUAAGUGCUGAAAGCAUCUAAGCAUGAAGCCCCCCUCAAGAUGAGAUUUCCCAACUUCGGUUAUAAGAUCCCUCAAAGAUGAUGAGGUUAAUAGGUUCGAGGUGGAAGCAUGGUGACAUGUGGAGCUGACGAAUACUAAUCGAUCGAAGACUUAAUCAA
Molecule: ribosomal RNA, 2921 nt
Filed under: Staphylococcus aureus
Lineage: Bacteria; Bacillati; Bacillota; Bacilli; Caryophanales; Staphylococcaceae
Description: bacterial LSU rRNA
Rfam family: Bacterial large subunit ribosomal RNA
Source: RNAcentral